CAUUUUUCAUCAGGCUAGAAAAACGCCCCGACCUACUUGAUGCCACGAGUACCUACGACUAGCAUCAUGGGCUGCUACGACCUACCUACGACCUCCAACGACCGUGCUGCGGGUAUGAGUCAAGAGAAAACUCGGUAGAGGUCGUGAAUUAGGUCGUGAAAGUGGGACAGGCCCUUAAGACAAGGGAAGAUGAUGCUU
Molecule: long non-coding RNA, 198 nt
Organism: Amblyraja radiata (thorny skate)
Lineage: Eukaryota; Metazoa; Chordata; Chondrichthyes; Rajiformes; Rajidae
Exons: 3
Source: RefSeq, a predicted model, not a curated record